RNAcentral lists this microRNA (21 nucleotides) under Arabidopsis thaliana (thale cress). RNAcentral's name for it is "ath-miR858a". Its record names the gene ath-miR858a. The record is from miRBase by way of RNAcentral. Lineage: Eukaryota; Viridiplantae; Streptophyta; Magnoliopsida; Brassicales; Brassicaceae. RNAcentral also lists the same sequence under 2 other names.
UUUCGUUGUCUGUUCGACCUU